AAGGACUGUGCUCCCAAUCCGCUUACGCUCAAGGAAGAACUGCCUGGAAGCCCUCCCUGGUACCAUACCCCAGCCGAUGAGUAUGUACCCCCAGAAGUACUUCCGCUCAGAGAAGAAGGAGACGGCAAGCAGGGUGUACAGGAAGGCCCAGAACCAGCCUGCUGUCAGGAUCAGAACAAAAGAGGAGGACUGCAUAUGUAUGGACCCACUCCAGAUGGCAUGGGGACGGGGGGAGUAGGAAAAGUGGCAUGAUGAGGAAAUGGAGGCACAGACUGAUUAGAAAACCAGCUCAAGGUCAUGUUGCUGGGUUAGUCAGGCUGAAAUGCUCAAGACACUCUGUCUCAAGGGAUUUGUGGCUGUUUCAUCCUCAAGUAUAGGGGGAAUAGUGGCCAGGAAGAUCUCAGAGGUGGCUUCUGGAAGAGGAAUCUGGGUACUGGCUACCCUGCCUUGUGUCCCAUCAUUGGUCUGUCUUGCCUGUCUUGGAGCACAUUUCUCACCAAGAAAUGCUUCUAAGGGGCCAGGCGUGGUGACUCACGCUUGUAAUUCCAAGCACUUUGGGAGGCUGAGGCAGGUGGAUCACCUGAAGCCAGGAGUUCAAGAGCAGCCUGGCCAACAUGGCGAAACCCUGUCUCUACUAAAAAUACAAAAUUUAGCCAGGCAUGGUGGCGGGAGCCUGUAAUCUCAGCUCCUAGGGAGGCUGAGCCAGAAGAAUCACUUAAACCCGGAAGCUGGAGGUUGCAGUGAGCCAAGAUCACACCACCACACUCCAGCCUGGGUGACAGAACAAGACUCCAUCUCAAAAAAAAAAAAAAAAAAAAAAAAGGAAAUACUUCUAAGUUAUGUGAGAGAGUACAUAGUGACAUUUUCAAUGGGUACAAUAA
This 881-nucleotide non-coding RNA is filed under the name Pan troglodytes (chimpanzee). The record is from RNAcentral. Lineage: Eukaryota; Metazoa; Chordata; Mammalia; Primates; Hominidae.